AUCCAACUGACGAGCCCCAAAUAAGACGAAACGCCCGUCAAACUGGAU
Non-coding RNA from Schistosoma rodhaini, 48 nucleotides. The record is from Rfam. Lineage: Eukaryota; Metazoa; Platyhelminthes; Trematoda; Strigeidida; Schistosomatidae.